GAUGAACGCUAGCGGCAGGCUUAAUACAUGCAAGUCGAGGGGCAGCACAGAUAGCAAUAUUGGGUGGCGACCGGCAAACGGGUGCGGAACACGUACACAACCUUCCUUUUAGUGUGGGAUAGCCCAGAGAAAUUUGGAUUAAUACCACAUAGUAUAUUGGAGUGGCAUCACUUUGAUAUUAAAGAUUUAUCGCUAAAAGCUGGGUGUGCGUAUGAUUAGGUAGUUGGUAGAGGUAACGGCUAACCAAGCCUUCGAUCAUUAACUGGUGUGAGAGCACGACCAGUCACACGGGCACUGAGACACGGGCCCGACUCCUACGGGAGGCAGCAGUAAGGAAUAUUGGUCAAUGGACGGAAGUCUGAACCAGCCAUGCCGCGUGAAGGAUGACGGCCCUCUGGGUUGUAAACUUCUUUUAUGUGGGACGAAAAGGGGCCAUUUUUGGUCAACUGACGGUACCAUAGGAAUAAGCACCGGCUAACUCCGUGCCAGCAGCCGCAGUAA
This 501-nucleotide ribosomal RNA is filed under the name uncultured bacterium. RNAcentral's name for it is "partial 16S ribosomal RNA". It matches the Rfam family "Bacterial small subunit ribosomal RNA", at positions 28 to 523 of the family's 1533-position model. The record is from RNAcentral.